GAUGAACGCUGGCGGCGUGCCUAAUACAUGCAAGUCGAGCGAACAGACGAGGAGCUUGCUCCUCUGACGUUAGCGGCGGACGGGUGAGUAACACGUGGAUAACCUACCUAUAAGACUGGGAUAACUUCGGGAAACCGGAGCUAAUACCGGAUAAUAUAUUGAACCGCAUGGUUCAAUAGUGAAAGACGGUUUUGCUGUCACUUAUAGAUGGAUCCGCGCCGCAUUAGCUAGUUGGUAAGGUAACGGCUUACCAAGGCGACGAUGCGUAGCCGACCGGAGAGGGUGAUCGGCCACACGGGAGCGGAGACACGGUCCAUGCUCCUACGGGAGGCAGCAGUGGGGUAUGUUAGGCAGUAGUCGGGAGCCUGACACAACGAGGCCGCGUGUGUGGAAAAGACCUUCGGUUAGUAAAGCCCUCUUUUUGGGUAAGAACAACUGUGAGUAUAGAUGACGCCGUCUUGACGGUACCUGAAGAAAAAGCACCGGCUAACUACGUG
RNAcentral lists this ribosomal RNA (497 nucleotides) under uncultured bacterium. Its description in RNAcentral is "partial 16S ribosomal RNA". It matches the Rfam family "Bacterial small subunit ribosomal RNA", at positions 28 to 507 of the family's 1533-position model. The record is from RNAcentral.